Long non-coding RNA from Rosa chinensis, 223 nucleotides. RefSeq lists it as uncharacterized. The transcript has 3 exons. Lineage: Eukaryota; Viridiplantae; Streptophyta; Magnoliopsida; Rosales; Rosaceae. The record is from RefSeq and is a predicted model, not a curated record.
CAGGCGAUGGGUCAUCAAGUUAAUUGCUGGAAAGUGUUCAACUCUGCAAGAGAUCGUCACCAAAGAGUCUGAGCUGGUGGAGAAAAUAGCUGAGAGGUCAAAAAUGAAUUACCGUGCAUGGUAUCAUCGUUGCUGGUUGGUGACCUACAUGACAACAGAGUUGUCUCUACAUGAAUUAAAGAGAUCUAAAAACUGGGCUGGCUUGCAUGUUGCUGACCAUAGU